AUGGCGGCGACCGCGCUCCGGACCACCUGCCAGCGGAUCGGCGGCCGGGCCCUCCGGCCAUGGCUGGCCCCCGCGGCGGCGCAUCAGAACCAGCCCACCACCUCUCGCCUCUUUCACAGCACGAAGGCGGCCGCAACUCACUCAGCUGAGAUCCAGCAGGUCAAAGAGGAGCUCUACUGCAUGAUGUCCGAAAACAGGGACAAGAUAGGAAAUCAGAAGGGCCUGAUCAAGCACCUCUCAUCCCAUGUGGAGCCUAAACCCGAGGACCCUGUCUGGCGCUUCUAUCGCAGGGCAAAAUGGUACCAUUUAGUCAUGAUGUAUAGCCCAGCAUUCCUUUAUGGCUACAUGUCUAUGUUGGAUGUGCCUGAUGGCAAGAAGGAGAUGACACCAGCUGAGAAGGAUGAUUUUAACAAGAGGAUGGCCGCGUUGAUGCCCAAUGUGGAACUUUGA
Molecule: ribosomal RNA, 450 nt
Filed under: Triticum aestivum (bread wheat)
Lineage: Eukaryota; Viridiplantae; Streptophyta; Magnoliopsida; Poales; Poaceae
Description: partial small subunit ribosomal RNA
Source: RNAcentral